Non-coding RNA from Salmo salar (Atlantic salmon), 54 nucleotides. The record is from Rfam. Lineage: Eukaryota; Metazoa; Chordata; Actinopteri; Salmoniformes; Salmonidae.
AGCACUCACUACUGUAAUUCGCUCUAGAUAAGAGUGUCUGCUAAAUGACAAAAA